RNAcentral lists this ribosomal RNA (422 nucleotides) under bacterium enrichment culture clone ALO1_GLFRUDD03GLVYG. Its description in RNAcentral is "bacterial SSU rRNA". It matches the Rfam family "Bacterial small subunit ribosomal RNA", at positions 9 to 430 of the family's 1533-position model. The record is from RNAcentral.
GAGUUUGAUCUUGGCUCAGAUUGAACGCUGGCGGCAUGCCUUACGCAUGCAAGUCGAACGGCAGCACGGGAGCUUAGCUCCUGGUGGCGAGUGGCGAACGGGUGAGUAAUGCAUCGGAACGUAUCCUGGAGUGGGGGAUAACGUAGCGAAAGUUACGCUAAUACCGCAUACGUCCUACGGGAGAAAGCAGGGGACCUUCGGGCCUUGCGCUAUCAGAUGAGCCUAGGUCGGAUUAGGCUAGUUGGUGGGUAAUGGCUCACCAAGGCGACGAUCCGUAACUGGUCUGAGAGGAUGAUCAGUCACACUGGAACUGAGACACGGUCCAGACUCCUACGGGAGGCAGCAGUGGGGAAUAUUGGACAAUGGGCGAAAGCCUGAUCCAGCCAUGCCGCGUGUGUGAAGAAGGUCUUCGGAUUGUAAAG